Zootoca vivipara (common lizard) is the source of this 350-nucleotide long non-coding RNA. RefSeq lists it as uncharacterized. Lineage: Eukaryota; Metazoa; Chordata; Lepidosauria; Squamata; Lacertidae. The record is from RefSeq and is a predicted model, not a curated record.
GUUGACAUUUAAACUGUGUGGCAGAUUCUUAUGUAGAAAUUGGCGAUCAAACCUGCCAGUUACCGACUCUCAGAGGCGCAAUUGGGAACCCGCGGAUCAUGAGCCUCUGCCUGCCCUCUGUCUAACAGGAACUCAAGAUCACACAACCAGCAGCUUCAGUGGAGAAAAACUCUUUUACUGGCAACCCUUUUUAAGGCACCAUCAUUUCAAAUCAGGGGCGCUUUUUAAAACUAUUGACAGGAGCUUUGACAACAAGACAGGAUGCCUCAGAAAGCGGGAAGACUUUAACAAGCGCUACGCAGAUGUGCGAGUCGUUAAAUCGCCAGAGAGGAGAGUCCGCUCAUAAAUCA